Molecule: long non-coding RNA, 883 nt
Filed under: Triticum aestivum (bread wheat)
Lineage: Eukaryota; Viridiplantae; Streptophyta; Magnoliopsida; Poales; Poaceae
Description: long non-coding RNA (TAES_LNC000331)
Source: RNAcentral
GUCUACCUGACUUGUCAUCUGUGGAUCGUACGUCGAUACUCGUGUGCAUAGCAGUGCUCUUUCAGGUAAGACGAACAUGUUUUAGAACAUCCUGUGUGGAAUCUAAAAUAAACAAAUAAAUAAAGAGCAUUAAUUGUCUAACAGUCCUUAUCACUGUUAUGACUAUAAUAAGGAUUUUUUUCCAAUUCACACACGAAAAUACAUCGAUCCGGGGAUUCUCAAUGUCGAUUGUUUACCAUGGUUUUAAUCAACCUGCCAUCAAACCCACUGCAUAUAUUUGUGUCAGAUUACAGUAUGCUAAUGAACAUUUAUUCUCCACUUGAUUUAAACAAUCAUUCAUUCUUCAUUAAAAUUGCAAUAUGCACAUUUUUUUACAAUCAAUACCAUAUAUAUUAUAGAAGCAAAUAGUACAUGGUACAGAUACAUGAGCUGAAUAAAUCUAGACGUGAUCACCAGGGCAAAGAAUUUGUCAAGAAAAGAAGAGACGCACAAUCUACCAAAAAUUCUAUAACGUCAGAGCAAUAUGCACUACACACAUGGGUAUAAUACAAUGACAACGCAGGAGAGGACAGAGAUUGACGUACCUGUGAUGGUGUCCUCAAUGGAGCAAAGGGAUUCUUGAAUUCUGGGAUGUUGGCUUUCCACGCAUCCACGUACAUCUGCUACGCCUCAUGCAGGCGCCACUGCAUUCCCUUGGAGAGCCCCACCGCGGCCAACCAGAGAGGAGGCACGGCCGGGACAAGGCCCUGCAGCCGGGAGGACGCCGGCCAGCCAGGGGCAGGGGGGUAGCCAGGCGAGAUGGAGCGCAGGGGAGGGCGGGGGAGGGGGAGGGCGACGCGCCGCGCCAGGGCAGCACCGGUGACGACGACGGGGAGGGACUNNN